AGGGGCGGGGGUGCUAUACAUGCAGUCGAGCGGACAGAAGGGAGCUUGCUCCCGGAUGUUAGCGGCGGACGGGUGAGUAACACGUGGGUAACCUGCCUGUAAGACUGGGAUAACUCCGGGAAACCGGAGCUAAUACCGGAUAGUUCCUUGAACCGCAUGGUUCAAGGAUGAAAGACGGUUUCGGCUGUCACUUACAGAUGGACCCGCGGCGCAUUAGCUAGUUGGUGAGGUAACGGCUCACCAAGGCGACGAUGCGUAGCCGACCUGAGAGGGUGAUCGGCCACACUGGGACUGAGACACGGCCCAGACUCCUACGGGAGGCAGCAGUAGGGAAUCUUCCGCAAUGGACGAAAGUCUGACGGAGCAACGCCGCGUGAGUGAUGAAGGUUUUCGGAUCGUAAAGCUCUGUUGUUAGGGAAGAACAAGUGCAAGAGUAACUGCUUGCACCUUGACGGUACCUAACCAGAAAGCCACGGCUAACUACGUGCCAGCAGCCGCGGUAAUACGUAGGUGGCAAGCGUUGUCCGGAAUUAUUGGGCGUAAAGGGCUCGCAGGCGGUUUCUUAAGUCUGAUGUGAAAGCCCCCGGCUCAACCGGGGAGGGUCAUUGGAAACUGGGAAACUUGAGUGCAGAAGAGGAGAGUGGAAUUCCACGUGUAGCGGUGAAAUGCGUAGAGAUGUGGAGGAACACCAGUGGCGAAGGCGACUCUCUGGUCUGUAACUGACGCUGAGGAGCGAAAGCGUGGGGAGCGAACAGGAUUAGAUACU
Molecule: ribosomal RNA, 766 nt
Filed under: Bacillus subtilis
Lineage: Bacteria; Bacillati; Bacillota; Bacilli; Caryophanales; Bacillaceae
Description: bacterial SSU rRNA
Rfam family: Bacterial small subunit ribosomal RNA
Source: RNAcentral